GAGGGUGGGGGACUUCGGUGGAGGCACUCUAUCAUGAUGUAGCAAAUAUUAAGAGGAAACAAAAUUCAUCAGGUAAAACUUAGAUACCUUUAACGCCUUUAACAAAUUUAGAGGUGUUGUAAGGAUAUGAUGAAAAGAGACCCAAAAAAAAACAUUAUUAAUGUAUACUAUGUUUCAGAUAUUUCUUAUCCUUGCUCUGGGGUAAUGGUGGUUCAGUGAUAGAAUUCUUCCAUGAGGGAGACCCAGGUUCUAUUACCAACCAGUGCACCUCAUGGGAAGCCACUAUCCAUUCAUCAGUGGAGGCUUACCUGUUGCCUUGAUGCUGAACAGGUUUCAGUGGAGAUUUUAAACUAAGACAGGGUCCCCAUGAGUCCGGGAGGACUUGAUAGCACUUAACAAUAACAACUCUUGCUUCAGAAAUAAACUAAAACUCUGGUGUUAAAUAACUUGCCCAGCUAGUAAAUGAUGGACUCAGUUUCAAACCCAGGGCUUUUAAGCCUUGGGGCCUACAAAAAGCUUAUUUUUACUUGGUUUAGGACUUGGAAUGUAUUUACUUGUAGACAUCAUAAAGCCAGGGAGAGCUAGGUUCCUAAACCCAUUCACGAAAGUCUACCUGUUCCGUAAUGGGAAAGAAAUAAUACCAUUGGAUGGAAUAAUUAUAACGAAGACUAUAGACGAAAAUAGAAAAACGAAAGUGGUUAAUGUCUUCAAAUGUUGGCAUUGUGGUGAUUUUUCCCUUUUAAAACUCUCUUUUUAUUAUCUGUGCAGUAAAGAAAAAAAAAAAAACCAGGAAGGGAGAAAACUCUAGCCACCACUCCAGCUAUGUUUCCUUAGAACGAGGCACCCCGCAUGACAGCUGAGUGGGCCAGGAACUCAGUACCCUUUGUCAUGGGCACAGCAAUUGAAGCCCUUGCAUGCGUCCCACAGGAGAGAGAACUUUCCCUUCCCGCCACAGGCCCCCAGCCUCAAUCACUGCAGGUAGGGGUGGAUCUGAAAGCGGGUUCAUUCCAAAGGUACUCCCAUGGAUUUGAUGAGGAUGAAGCACAGUACCCGUGUGAUAAAUAAGAACUUCCACGGCUUUAAAAGUUCUUUAAAAAAGGUACACACUUUGCUCCCCUCCCCCCCUCCCCGCCCCACCUUGGAAAUUAUGAUUCAGAAUGACAGGAUGGGAUCCAGGAAUGUAAAAGAAACCAAAGGAGUUGAGUCAUCUUCAUGCUUGCAUUAUCUUUAGAAGCAAUGAAACGGCAUUUAACUCUGCUUAUUUAUUCAUUUAAGUAGAUGAAGGAGAAGUUUUCCACAGUGCUCCUGUUCAGGCCCUGCCAUCAGAUGACAUUGCCUACCAGGGGACAUGACAGAAGGCCAGUGAAAAAACUGCAGGGUGAUACCUUAGUUCAUAAGCUAAUUUAGCUUAUUUUCACACUUGAGACAAAUCCACUUCUUCCCAAUAUUAGCCAUACCAGCAAUCACAGUUAAAACUGCAUGCUGGUAACUUAAGUGACUCAAUCUUAAAAGCAACAAAAAUCAUGCAUUCUUUGGGUAGAUCUUUAAGCCAAAAAAUACAGGAAAUCAAGCUUUAUUUUUCUUUUUUUUAAGCUAGUACCUGAGCCAGUUUUCCUGCCUGAAAUGUCUUAACAUUGCUGUAAUUGUACCUUAGAGUUUCCUUUAGGAGCUAAACAACCUGCCCUUUCACAUAAAUAACAACUUGUCUUAAUGACAAAUGCGGGGGUGAUGGGUCCACAGUGCAAUGGAUUGAAGCAGGUUGUGUUAAGCAGACUAUUCCAUAAAUAAGCAAGUCUUAUUCACCAAAGUUAAGCAGACAUGGUAAAAUAUGCCUCAACUCAAAAGGAGAGGGUGCUUUGACAAUAGGGUGGAAGGGGGCGUCUUAUUUUAGCGCACACACACACAAAAAAAAUGGGACUUAGAAGUAUUAAAAUGCUUACAAGGACUUACAUGACUUAAAAAGUGUUUUCAGCAUUCUGCAUCCCACUUUGAAGUGUGGCGUCUGGGUUCUUAAAUGCUAACAAGCGGCCAUCUAAGAUGCAUCAGUUGGUCUCAACCCAUCUGGAUCAAAGGAGAAUGAAGAACACCAAGGUCACACGGUAACUAUGAGCCCGAGACAGAAAGGGCCACAUGAAACAGAGACUUACAUCAUCCUGAGACCAGAAGAACUAGAUGGUGCCUGGCCACAACCGAUGACUGCCCUGACAGGGAACACAACAGAGAAUUCCUGAGGGAGCAGGACAGUGGGAUGCAGACCCCAAAUUCUCAUAAAAAGACCAGACUUAAUGGUCCGACUGAGACUAGAAGAAUCCCGGUGGUCAUGGUCCCCAAGCCUUCUGUUGGCCCAGGACAGGAACCAUUCCCGAAGACUACUUACCAGACAUGGAAGGGACUGGACAAUGGGCUGGAAAGAGAUGCUGAUGAAGAGUGAGCUACUUGUAUCAGGUGUACACGUGAGACUGUAUUGGCAUCUCCUGUCUGGAGGGGAGAUAGGAGGGUAGAGAGGGUUAGAAACUGGCAAAACGGUGACCAAAGGAGAGACUGGAAGAAGGGAGUGGGCUGACUCAUUGGAGGAGAGUAAAUGGGAGUAUGUAGUAAGGUGUAUAUAAGCUUAUAUGUGACAGACUGACUUGAUUUGUAAACUUUCACUUAAAGCACAAUAAAAAUUAUUUCAAAAAGAAAAAAUGUUUUCAACGGAACAACCGGGAUGGAAAUGAGAAAGUCCACAACAUUGUCAAGAAUUUAACCAAUGUCACUAAACAACUUGUAUAGAAAUUGUUGAAUGGGAACCUAAACUGCUGUGUAAACCAUCAGAAACACAAUAAAGUAUUAUUUGGAAAUAGUUUCAAAAUCAUCUUUCACUGCUUCAUUUAGGACAAAACCGUGCCCUAGAUUCUCUAUGAAGUGUUUCGUAGGUUAGUCCCUUGGUUUUCUAUUAUCUCAGAUCUCGUAUUUGGAAAUAAAUACUUCUACACAAGGAGUUACUGGGAAACAAAGCAAUUUUUUAGACUAUUGACUUAAGAGAAAGUAGAAAUGUACUUGUUACCAUGACAUCCAUUAGUUGGCAUGUCUCCCUUGGGAUUACAAAUGAUAGGAACUGCCAAUGUCUUGUCAAUGAAUAGUCUGACCUUUUUUCCCCAUUACUAAGAUUUUCCUUUUUCUCUGUUUUCUUUAUUAAAAAAAGACGGUUACUUACCAAAGAAAAUUAAAGGAAUGUAUGUUCUCAAAAUCAGCUUGAAGUGGACAGUCUUGUGAGGUAGAUACGUCACGUUUUAAUGGACAAUAAAGUACCCCAUUCCUUGUUAGUUGUCAAAAGCCGACUCCAACUCAUGACCACUGCAUGUGUGCAGAGUAGAACUUCUCCAUAGGGUUUUCAAGGAGGAGCCCUGGUGGUGAAUCGUUUAAGAUGGGCUGCUAAUCAAAAGGUCAGCAGUUCAAAUCCACCAGCCGUUCCUUGGAAACCCAAGAGGCAGUUCUACUCUGUCCGAUAGGGUUGCUAUGAGUCGGAAUCAACUUGAGGGCAAUGGCUUUGUUUUGUUUGGACCUUUGGAAGCAGAUCACCAGGCCUGUCUUCUGAGGUGCCUCUGGGUGGGUUUGAAUGCUCCUAACAUUCAGCAAAAAUAGGAUUUGGAACAAAAGUGCUAAAGGAAAUCUUUUAAGUAAAAACACGUAUUAUAGACAAAAUUUUCUGACAUUCUGAUAUUCUCUCCCUCCCAAGAAGUUUGUACUUACACACUUAGCUGCAAAGACCAAGUGGCUCUGCACCCUGAAGAGACUUGAUUCUGAGAAUUGUACCAGGAUGAAGGGAGGGAGGUGCAGUUGUCAACUGGGCUUUUGCUUUGCUUUGGAGAAUUGGAACUGACUGUAGGAGGGACUAGCAAAGACCUGGGAAGAACCUCCUUCUGGUCCUGGUUGGACACUGCCUUGCUUCCUCACUGCUUGGUCUUAGGAGAGUCCUGAAGCCCAGCCCCAGUUUCCUCAUCUGCAGAUUCACAGGGAUGAUUUUGAUCCAGUUCUAUAAUCUCUCUGUACUGUUAACCUUACUCAUUCCCCAGUAGGGCUAAUUCAUUUCCUCUGUCACAUAUACAGUGACAGUUCUGUGAAAGCCAGAACUCCACCAGACUGCCCUAUUUUUCUGGGUCUUGAAAGCUUUCCACCUUUGACAAGUUGCAGAUAAUAUGUUUACACUCGACCCAGAUGGUCGUACUGUGGUGGCUUGCAUGCUGCUGUGAAGCUGGAAGCUACACGUAUUUCAAAUACCAAGAGGGUCACCCAUGGUUGAUGGGCUUCAGUGGAGCUUACAGACUAAGGCUAGGAGAAGCCUGCAGAAAGACAUGGGAACCUCAUACCACCAAGAAACAAGAGCCAGGAUAAUAGCAUGUCCUCUGGACCUGGGGUCCCUGUACUGAGAAGCUCUACGAUUGGGGAAGUAUGAUGGCAAGAACCUUCCUCCAGAGCUGACAGAGAGAGAAGGCCUUCCCCUGGAGCUGGCAGCCUGGAUUCAGACUCCUAGCCUACUAGACUGUGAGAGAAUAAACUUCUGUUUGUUAAAGCCAUCCACUUGUGGUAUUUCUGUUGUAGC
Molecule: long non-coding RNA, 4582 nt
Organism: Loxodonta africana (African savanna elephant)
Lineage: Eukaryota; Metazoa; Chordata; Mammalia; Proboscidea; Elephantidae
Exons: 3
Source: RefSeq, a predicted model, not a curated record